Long non-coding RNA from Temnothorax curvispinosus, 377 nucleotides. RefSeq lists it as uncharacterized. The record is from RefSeq and is a predicted model, not a curated record. Lineage: Eukaryota; Metazoa; Arthropoda; Insecta; Hymenoptera; Formicidae. The transcript is spliced from 3 exons.
AUGUAUAUACAUAUGUGUAUGUGUCGUGUGAUGUGACAGCUGGCAUCGGUUGCGCGAGGUUAGUGGGAUUAUUUAUAUAAAUAUGUAUGUGUCGUGUGAUGUGACAGCUGGCAUCGGUUGCGCGAGAUAUACCGAUAAAUUUAAAAUAUUCGAGAAGAUAUGAUGGGAUUAGCUAUUGGUGCUCAUGGUGCAAAUAUAUUCAACAAGCGUGAAAAGUUGAUGACAUUACAAAUAUCGUUAGAAGAAAAUUCAUGCACAUUUAAGAUAUAAUAUAGAGAGACGCAUGAAGCUGUUAAAAAAGACUGAUUUAUGCUGGAAUACAGCGAUAACCUAGAAAUAAAUAGAUAGUGACAGUCGUGACCAUCGCCGCGUGAUAG